This is a long non-coding RNA of Amblyraja radiata (thorny skate), 190 nucleotides long. RefSeq lists it as uncharacterized. The record is from RefSeq and is a predicted model, not a curated record. Lineage: Eukaryota; Metazoa; Chordata; Chondrichthyes; Rajiformes; Rajidae. The transcript has 3 exons.
UUUAUUUGCCUCUGUACUCCACAAUUUGAAAUUUGUAAUAGAAAAAAAAUCAUAUGUGGUUAAAGUGCACAUUGCCAGAUUUUAAUAAUGGCCAUUUUUAAUACAUGUUGGUGUCACCAUGUAGAAAUUACUGCAGUGUUUAUACGUAGUCCCCCCAUUUCUAUGGAUGUUCAUUGAAAUCUUCUGUGGC